RNAcentral lists this unclassified non-coding RNA (376 nucleotides) under soil metagenome. RNAcentral's name for it is "partial contains 5.8S ribosomal RNA, internal transcribed spacer 2, and large subunit ribosomal RNA". The stretch from base 1 to 119 matches the Rfam family "5.8S ribosomal RNA", at positions 36 to 154 of the family's 154-position model. The record is from RNAcentral.
AUGAAGAACGUAGCGAAAUGCGAUAAGUAAUGUGAAUUGCAGAAUUCAGUGAAUCAUCGAAUCUUUGAACGCAUCUUGCGCUCCUUGGUAUUCUGAGGAGCAUGCCUGUUUGAGUGUCAUUAAAUUCUCAACCGCACUGACUUUGAAUUGGUGUGGCUUGGAUUUGGGGGGAAAAUUGUUGUGGGCUUUUUUGUAUAGUCUGCUCCCCUGAAAUUGAUUAGCGGUACCUUUGUGGAACUGUCUACAGGUGUGAUAAUUAUCUACAUCCUAGACAUCUGCUGGAAUGCUGCUUUCUAAACCUUACUUGUAUUGACAAUCUUGACCUCAAAUCAGGUAGGACUACCCGCUGAACUUAAGCAUAUCAAUAAGCGGAGGA